This 806-nucleotide ribosomal RNA is filed under the name uncultured Pelagibacteraceae bacterium. RNAcentral describes it as "bacterial SSU rRNA". It matches the Rfam family "Bacterial small subunit ribosomal RNA", at positions 35 to 889 of the family's 1533-position model. The record is from RNAcentral. Lineage: Bacteria; Pseudomonadati; Pseudomonadota; Alphaproteobacteria; Candidatus Pelagibacterales; Candidatus Pelagibacteraceae.
GCUGGCGGCACGCCUAACACAUGCAAGUCGAACGCAGUAGCAAUACUGAGUGGCAAACGGGUGAGUAUAAUGUGGGAAUCUGCCUUUUGGUUUGGAAUAACACGGGGAAACUUGUGCUAAUACCGAAUAAGCCCUUACGGGGAAAGUUUUAAUGCCGAAAGAUGAGCCCGCACUUGAUUAGCUAGUUGGUAAGGUAAAAGCUUACCAAGGCAACGAUCAAUAGCUGUUCUUAGAGGAAGACCAGCCACAUUGGGACUGAGACACGGCCCAGACUCCUACGGGAGGCAGCAGUGGGGAAUCUUGCACAAUGGGGGAAACCCUGAUGCAGCGAUGCCGCGUGAGUGAAGAAGGCCCUUGGGUUGUAAAACUCUUUCGUCGGGGAAGAAAAUGACUGUACCCGAAUAAGAAGGUCCGGCUAACUUCGUGCCAGCAGCCGCGGUAAUACGAAGGGACCUAGCGUAGUUCGGAAUUACUGGGCUUAAAGAGCUCGUAGGUGGUUAAAAUAGUUGAUGGUGAAAUCCCAAGGCUCAACCUUGGAACUGCCAUCAAAACUUUUUAGCUAGAGUGUGAUAGAGGUAAGUGGAAUUUCUAGUGUAGAGGUGAAAUUCGUAGAUAUUAGAAAGAACACCAAAUGCGAAGGCAACUUACUGGGUCACUACUGACACUGAGGAGCGAAAGCAUGGGUAGCGAAGAGGAUUAGAUACCCUCGUAGUCCAUGCCGUAAACGAUGUGUGCUAGACGUUGGAAAUAUAUUUUUCAGUGUCGCAGCGAAAGCAUUAAGCACACCGCCUGGGGAGUACGACCGC